GACGAACGCUGGCGGCGUGCUUAACACAUGCAAGUCGAACGAUGAACCCGGAGCUUGCUCCGGCGGAUUAGUGGCGAACGGGUGAGUAACACGUGAGUAACCUGCCCUUGACUCUGGGAUAACUGCUAGAAAUGGUAGCUAAUAACGGAUACGACCCUCGGUGGGAUCAACAGGGGGUGGAAAGAAUUUCGGUCAAGGAUGGACCCUAGGCCUAUCAUCUAGUUGGUGAGGUAACGGCUCACCAAGGCGACGACGGGUAGCCGGCCUGAGAGGGUGACCGGCCACACUGGGACUGAGACACGGCCCAUACGCCUACGGGAGGCAGCAGUGGAGGAUAUUGCACAAUGGGCGCAAGCCUGAUGCAGCAACGCCGCGUGAGGGAUGACGGCCUUCGGGUUGUAACCUCUUUCAGCACCGACGAAGCGCAAGUGACGGUAGGUGCAGAAGAAGGACCGGCCAACUACGUGCCAGCCGCCGCCGUAA
Molecule: ribosomal RNA, 483 nt
Filed under: uncultured bacterium
Lineage: Bacteria
Description: partial 16S ribosomal RNA
Rfam family: Bacterial small subunit ribosomal RNA
Source: RNAcentral